RNAcentral lists this unclassified non-coding RNA (310 nucleotides) under uncultured Eurotiomycetes. RNAcentral describes it as "sequence contains ITS1". The stretch from base 1 to 105 matches the Rfam family "5.8S ribosomal RNA", at positions 50 to 154 of the family's 154-position model. The record is from RNAcentral. Lineage: Eukaryota; Fungi; Ascomycota; Eurotiomycetes.
GAAAUGCGAUAAGUAAUGUGAAUUGCAGAAUUCCGUGAAUCAUCGAAUCUUUGAACGCACAUUGCGCCCUCUGGUAUUCCGGGGGGCAUGCCUGUCCGAGCGUCAUUGCAACCCUCAAGCCCGGCUUGUGUGAUGGGCGCGCGUCCCGAGCGGGGGACGCGCCCGAAAGGCAGUGGCGGCGUCGCGGUUAUCCGAUCGCCCGAGUGUAUGGGGCUCUGUCACACGCUCGCUGGUGCGGACCGGCGCCUGCCGAACCUCUCCAUUUCUCGUGGUUGACCUCGGAUCAGGUAGGGAUACCCGCUGAACUUAA